GUGGGGAAUAUUGGACAAUGGGCGAAAGCCUGAUCCAGCCAUGCCGCGUGUGUGAAGAAGGUCUUCGGAUCGUAAAGCACUUUAAGUUGGGAGGAAGGGCAUUAACCUAAUACGUUAGUGUUUUGACGUUACCGACAGAAUAAGCACCGGCUAACUUCGUGCCAGCAGCCGCGGUAAUACGAAGGGUGCAAGCGUUAAUCGUAAUUACUGGGCGUAAAGCGCGCGUAGGUGGUUCGUUAAGUUGGAUGUGAAAGCCCCGGGCUCAACCUGGGAACUGCAUCCAAAACUUGCGAGCUAGAGUACGGUAGAGGGUGGUUGAAUUUCCUGUGUAGCGGUGAAAUGCGUAGAUAUAGGAAGGAACACCAGUGGCGCAGGCGACCACCUGGACUGAUACUGACACUGAGGUGCGAAAGCGUGGGGAGCAAACAGGAUUAGAUACCCGAGUAGUCC
This 450-nucleotide ribosomal RNA is filed under the name uncultured bacterium. Its description in RNAcentral is "partial 16S ribosomal RNA". It matches the Rfam family "Bacterial small subunit ribosomal RNA", at positions 354 to 796 of the family's 1533-position model. The record is from RNAcentral.